This 376-nucleotide ribosomal RNA is filed under the name uncultured bacterium. RNAcentral's name for it is "bacterial SSU rRNA". It matches the Rfam family "Bacterial small subunit ribosomal RNA", at positions 523 to 898 of the family's 1533-position model. The record is from RNAcentral.
AUACGUAGGUCCCGAGCGUUGUCCGGAUUUAUUGGGCGUAAAGCGAGCGCAGGCGGUUUGAUAAGUCUGAAGUUAAAGGCUGUGGCUCAACCAUAGUUCGCUUUGGAAACUGUCAAACUUGAGUGCAGAAGGGGAGAGCGGAAUUCCAUGUGUAGCGGUGAAAUGCGUAGAUAUAUGGAGGAACACCGGUGGCGAAAGCGGCUCUCUGGUCUGUAACUGACGCUGAGGCUCGAAAGCGUGGGGAGCGAACAGGAUUAGAUACCCUGGUAGUCCACGCCGUAAACGAUGAGUGCUAGGUGUUGGAUCCUUUCCGGGAUUCAGUGCCGCAGCUAACGCAUUAAGCACUCCGCCUGGGGAAUACGACCGCAAGGUUGAA